AAAAACUCCGGUGGUAUACGAUGGAUCCGCGUCUGAUUAGCCAGUUGGCGGGGUAACGGCCCACCAAAGCGACGAUCAGUAGCCGGCCUGAGAGGGUGAACGGCCACAUUGGGACCGAGACACGGCCCAAACUCCUACGGGAGGCAGCAGUGGGGAAUAUUGCACAAUGGGGGAAACCCUGAUGCAGCGACGCCGCGUGAGUGAAGAAGUAUUUCGGUACGUAAAGCUCUAUCAGCAGGGAAGAAAAACCGGCCUUAGGGCCGCCAGACGGUACCUGACUAAGAAGCCCCGGCUAACUACGUGCCAGCAGCCGCGGUAAUACGUAGGGGGCAAGCGUUAUCCGGAUUUACUGGGUGUAAAGGGAGCGUAGACGGCAGCGCAAGUCUGGAGUGAAAUGCCGGGGCCCAACCCCGGAACUGCUUUGGAAACUGUGCAGCUCGAGUGCAGGAGAGGUAAGCGGAAUUCCUAGUGUAGCGGUGAAAUGCGUAGAUAUUAGGAGGAACACCAGUGGCGAAGGCGGCUUACUGGACUGUAACUGACGUUGAGGCUCGAAAGCGUGGGGAGCAAACAGGAUUAGAUACCCUGGUAGUCCACGCCGUAAACGAUGAUUACUAGGUGUCGGGGGGCCAAGGCCCUCCG
RNAcentral lists this ribosomal RNA (639 nucleotides) under uncultured bacterium. RNAcentral describes it as "bacterial SSU rRNA". It matches the Rfam family "Bacterial small subunit ribosomal RNA", at positions 202 to 842 of the family's 1533-position model. The record is from RNAcentral.